AGAACGGAAAAAAGAAAGAGCUGCCACUUCCGAAGCGUAGCCCCGGCGUCCGGCAGGGCGACGUUCCCACCCGCACCCGGCUAGCCUCGGUGCCGGGCACCCUGCCCAGUUUUCACUCGCGGGGUCUCGCUGCCCCCGUGAGGCGAGCGACCCGACCCGCGAGUCCCCGGUCCCGCUGGCGCCCCUGCCUCGGGACAGCCUCACCCAGGACCUGCCUUCCCCGGAGCGGAACAGAAUCCCUAGUUUCAGAUGUUACAUGACUUGCAGCGUGUCCUGUCACAACCUCCCUUCUUCAUUCUCUGCUGUGUGAGAGGAAAUGGGAACACUCAUCGGCAAAGGGAAUUUCUUAAGGAACUCUUAUUGCUGGUGCUGCUGUUGUUUGAGACUUCCAGAAGCCCAUUUUCUCCUGUUAUUGGACGGACAAAAAAUAUUGCCUUGAGAAGUCACUCGCUGUGCCAUUGGUUGGCCCAUGACUCAGCAGAGGUUCUUCUCAGUAGUUGUCUCGAGGAGUCUGCUCAGACUUAGGUGCAAAUGCAGCCUGAAAAUCAAGAGAAAAUUCUCAGAAGUGUUCUACAGACAUACUUUGAAGAUAUUUCAGGUUUGGUUCCAGAUCACCACAGUAAAGCAAAUAUAGAAAUAAAGCAAGUCAAAUGAGGUUUUUGGUUUCCCA
Molecule: long non-coding RNA, 670 nt
Filed under: Felis catus (domestic cat)
Lineage: Eukaryota; Metazoa; Chordata; Mammalia; Carnivora; Felidae
Description: lncRNA (ENSFCAG00000042845.2)
Source: RNAcentral